Neopelma chrysocephalum (saffron-crested tyrant-manakin) is the source of this 4393-nucleotide long non-coding RNA. RefSeq lists it as uncharacterized. The transcript has 3 exons. NCBI's taxonomy places the organism in Eukaryota, Metazoa, Chordata, Aves, Passeriformes, Pipridae. The record is from RefSeq and is a predicted model, not a curated record.
GUGGGGUCUCGAGCUCGUGUGGGGCGAGUAGCUGUUCCACUGGACACUUAGAGACCUUGGACUGGAGGUUGUUUUCUUGCAGCGAUCACAGUUUUAAUGGGCAGAGAUAUGAGCAUGUUGACUAAUCCUUGGUGAUCUCUGGUGCUUUUGAAUUGGGUGUUAACAAAAAAAUGACAUACUCCUGAGCAAGAGAAAGAACUUAAGGAUGAAAGGGAAAUGAUAAAUGGAAGUUGCUUACAAAUUCUUUAUUAGGUCAGCAAAACAACUAACUGCAUUUGCCUUGGAGGUGUUUUCUGAUUCAACACUUGUCCUAGCUAAAAGAAGACAUGAAAACAAUCAAAAUAUGGAGGUGUAUGUGCCAAUGUUUAUAGGUUAUGCAAAAUAAAUAGAGAAAAUGACAGUCACGAGUAAAACUUAACAGUUAGAAAAUGCAGAUAUUGAUAAAGGAAAUUAAAAGUUAUCUGAAAGGCAUCCUGUGCCAACAAUACAAAAAAAAUUCUUCAGUUUUUUUGGUGUCCUGGCAUCAAAGUGAAAUCAAAGCAGCAAUGGUGUCAAUAUAAGGUAAGGAUGAAAAAAUGUGGAAAAAAUAUGAUUAAUAAAUACUGCUGCAGUGUAUUAGAAAAAGGGCAGGUUUUGUUGAUGUCUUUCUUUUAUGGAGAAAUAUUUCUUCCAGCAACAUCUAGAUAGAACUUCAAAAUGGCACUUAAUAGUGUUUAAACAAGUGACUCUGUCAAAGCUUUAUUUAUUUAAGACAGUCAAGAAGAUUGUCUGGAGGUGGGUGAUAUUUGUUCUUAGUGCAUCUCAGCAUAGGAGUGAAGUUUGAGAUAUGCAGAAAAGAGCUUUUGGAUUGCUAGAAGCUACAAACCAUGAAUUUGGAUAACUGUGACCUUGUUUAGCCUGUCACAAAUUUUAAGCAAAAUCAUGAAAGAAAUGAUGUGGUACGUGAUUAAUAAAUGGUGAAGUGGCUAUGCAACUAAUGUCUACCAGCACAGUUAGGUAGAACAGCAUUCUUUUAUGUUUUUUUCCCCUAUUGCUUUCUGCAGUUACCAGAUUGAUGUGAAAAGGUUCAGGCAAUUUUUUUGAUUGCUGUUUUUGAAGGUCAGAAGCUCCCUAAGGAACAGGUCCAUUCUUUCUCACUGGAGAGCUUUAAUUUAGCACUAGGUGCUGUUAUGAAAGAUUAGCAGUUGCUUAAGCCAAAAUGCUUGAGCUCAAAACAGAAUUUAAUGGGGAAGGUUCACUUCCAUUAUUGUCUUACUAUCCUUAAUACAUCCUUUUGAUUUCCUGGUGUUGUACCAGGAAGCUGUUUAUAGAAGCUGUUCUCUGCCCCAUGCAGCAGUGGCUGUAACAUAUGCUUUGGUUAACCAUUUUCCCUUGGUACUUUUGCAGUUGCAUACUGUGCUAUACUUCGUUACAUUGUUCUGCUGUUGUCUCAGAUCAGGGCAAAGAUAGGAAUGCAGGUGAAGAGAUAUUCAGGGUACCCAGCACUCAUAUCAACACAUCCAUCUGUAGCCACCUGAGUGUUGUUGCAGCUCCUGGGCAGCACCUGUAUUGCCAGUUCUGUCUGAUGGGCAGGGGUUCAGGAGCAGGAGCAUUGGGAGGAGCAUAUGAUGAGUGUCAUGGUGCUUGUCCUCAGUGCCAUUAAAUUAUUGGUGGCAGCAGUAGAGGGGACUGGGCUCAUCAGUGUUCUUUCAGGGUGGACCCUUGCUAUGUUUUGUUCAAGGACCCGUGAGUUUACUUGUGCUGAUGGCCUUUCUUUGCUCUCGGGCCCCCUCCUGGCUAUUCUCCACUGAUGGCAAAAGUUAGCAGCCAGAGUGCACUUCAGCCAUGACCAAUGCCCUUCCAGAACAGAACUUGAGAGCAGGUUUGGGACGAACACUGUAUGGCGUUGGCUGAUUUGUUGUCCUAAAACUGGUCUCUGGCAGAGAUUUGGCUCUGAACCUAUUCAGGAUUUGCAGAGACCAUUUUGAGCUUUAGGGGGCACCUCUUUGUUGGUACUUUCUGCCACAUGUGGAAGCCUUAUUUUGCUCCAGUUUACUGGAGCAUGUCCUUGGAAGCUUUUUCAAGUUCUUCUGCAUCUUCUCCAGGAAAGAAGCAUGCAAAUGUAUCUGAAAGUUCCUCUCUAAGACAGUGUUCAUAGUUUGUCAGUCUUUGUUGUUACCUGUUGUUUGCAUACCUUUUGGCCUAGACAGUUUUUCUGGCUUAGAGGCACAUCUUUUUUCAGUACUUUUAUUUCUAUUAGUCCCCUUUUGGUUUUGGAGAUGUGUAGCAGACACAUUUUUCAGGCACUUGUAGCAGUGUCAGGAGCAGAGAAACAAGCCAAUGAGUUUCUUAUUCUUGGGACAGGACAGUUGGGUUUUGUAGCUUACAAGCCAGUCUUUAUAUUGUCAGAAUGACAGUUUUCUUUCUUACCCUCUGAGUAGUAAGUUAAGUCAUCCAGGGACUUGUGGUUAGAAUGUUUAAGGACAUGUUCCAGUCAAAGAACUUGGUCUACAUAACUCUGCUUUCCAGUCAGAUGUUACACAAUAGUGAAAUUGAAGUCCCAGUUUAGUUUAAUUAGAGUGGAAAAACAAAGCUUAAAUGAAAAAAGGGCAUCUUUCUGUAGGAAGUAGAGUCAGUUAGUAGAGACCCAUAAAUAUCUGGUUUGAUUAUUAGUGUGUAUCAUAGCCAAAAUAAAAGGUGUCUCUGGUCUAGGUGACUGCAGCAAAGGAAACGCGCUGCAGCAUAAAGGGAAACAACACCCUGAGGUGUCAGGAGGAAGGCACUGAGCAUGGCUGCUUGCCAGGACCUGUUCAGGCAGCUCUCCUUUGGGAGUUGAUCUUGAAAUUUUUUUAUGGGUUCCGUGAGUUCAAAGUGGUUCAGGAUUGCUCUUUCUUUGCAUAGCUUUUUUUUACUUUGAGGCUGGCUGGGUACCUGGUUGACUCUGUGGAGGGGAAUGGCUGUGGUAGAACCACUGACCUGUGGAUUGAGCCAGGCUUUAUGGCCUGGUGGGGAGCUGGGUAAUCCAGAACAGAGUUUUAAGUAAGAAAGAGUCUGUUGAGCUGGUGGCCUACUGGGGAAGCAGCUCUUGUUAGAUGGAGGAGCUGAAAGUUUCAAUCCUGUUUCAUGGUGGUGAAAAACCAAAACCUUAAAUGGCAGCCUCUGAUACCUCUUUGCAAACAUUGCGAUUGCCAGGCAUUGCACCUUCUCUGUCUUCUCCUGUUGUAGCAGUCCUCUUUACCUGUUGUAAGUACGCUAAAUAGUAAUACUUGGGCAUGCUGGCCCUGCAAUUCUGUCUUACCAACUAACAUGGACUAUACCAGGGUUUAAGCUUCAGCCCAUUUCCCCAACAACUGUAAAGGAGUGAUGGUGUGAGCCAGGCCUCAGGUGGUUUCCUAUGAAAGAAAUAGGGGAAAUCUUCAUCUCUUGUUAUUCCAUGGUAGUGUUAGGGCAGUAGGAAGCUGUGGUUGGGUUGCGCAGCGUGCACACUGGUGAGGAUCCAAGGGCAGCACAUAAAGAAGCGGGCUCAGUGUUUAGAACAGUGACGUGUUUUGUUUAUCCAGCCAUCUGUUACCCAUCUGGAAGUGCUCUGGCUACAGAUUUUGGGUUGUACUGUAGCCAAAGAUAGACUUUCUUCCCUGGGAUGAUGAAGACAAGAAGAUACUGAGGUGACUGCACAUCUGAAAGAGAAGUGAGGCAGUUGUCAUGCCCCUGUCUUUCUGGCAGAUGUUGUAUUAGCUAUCCCAGAGGCAUGAUGCUGCUCUGUGCCUGUGUGGGCUGACUCAGCUGGAAUGCUGGCAAGUGCCAUGGUGGGGCAUAGGUUAACAGGUGUUAAGUCUGUCACAAGUGUUUUCCCUUGCAGUAUGUAAUGAAGGCCACUGAUCUGCUAGAGCUCCUCUGUAUUGUAAAUAAAGCAAGGGUGAAUGGAUGGCUGAAAAAUUGCUACAGUGGUUGAGUUUAAAUGAGGCCAUGGGGAAACCUCUGCAGGCUUUGAAUAAUAACAGACAUACUACAGCCUGGCUCUAAGCGGGACAUGAGGCUGCUUCAUAAUGCUGAAUGCAGAAAAUCAACUCCUUGGUAAUUAACUUGUGUUGUCUUUUCCUGUAGCUGUAGGAAUCUUUGGAAGCCAGCAAAAGUGUGUACUGCACCUUUGGCGGUAACUUUAGAACUGCUCUGUUGCUAAGGGUGAUCAUCCAGAAGAGCCAAAAGCUGUGGACCGUGGGAGUGACACCAAGGUUACUGAAGACUGAACUGAGCCAAGAGCAACCCUGUCAAAUCUCCAUCUUUGCACCACGAAAACUGGCUACAACUAUAUUAGGAGCUUUUUUCGUGCAACUGUGCUGCAAAAAUUAUGAAGAGACGAGCUAGAAACUGUAUCCUUUGAUUGCUCUGUGUGCCUUACCUCUUUUUUGAGUUC